RNAcentral lists this long non-coding RNA (3419 nucleotides) under Capsicum annuum. Its description in RNAcentral is "long non-coding RNA (CANN_LNC001898)". The record is from RNAcentral. Lineage: Eukaryota; Viridiplantae; Streptophyta; Magnoliopsida; Solanales; Solanaceae.
UGAUUUGAACCGAAGACCUCAUGGUUCUCAACCCAAUUCAUUGACAAAGAAAUCACACCCUUGGGUGAAACUGUGUUGAAACUUAAUUAGGAUCCAUCCUUGAAGAUUCAACCUUGCUCGUAUCCCUUUGAAAGGGUGGGGUUUAAUGAAAAAAGUACAAAUAUAUAUGUUUAGUCCAAGAUAAAUAAUUAUAAGCAUGCCUGAUGAAUAUAUGAAAUGGAAAAAAAAAUUACAAUGAAGCAGUUAUAGCUUAGCUUACUGAGGACAUGACCCUAGAUAGGAAGGUUUGGAGGAUGCGGAUUAGGGUAGAAGGUUAGGGCCUGUGGGUGGGUGGGUCACAGUCAGUAGCUAGGAGAGCUUCGGGUAGGGGGGAAGUGGGUGGGGGUGCCUUUGGUUUGUUAGUGUAGGGUAUUACUGUGUGGGUGUCUCAUCUCUAUUGUGUCAUCUUGUUUCAAGCUUUAUUAUGAAUUUGCUUAUUAUUCUUUGUUUUGAGCCGGAGGUCUAUCGGAAACAGCCUUGCUACCUCUCCGGAGGUAGUGGUAUGGACUGCGUACAUUUUACUCUCCCCAGACCCCACUGUGUGGGAAAACACUGGGUUUGUUGUUGUUGUUGUUGUUGUUGAAGUGAAAUAUCAAUUGUUUAGUGUCACCUCUUCAGAGAGGCUCAUUGGCAACUGGCAAGGAAAAGUAUGCCUUCGAAAAUUGAUGACGACAUUGAAGCACACAUUAAGCUAGGCGAAGCACUCAACAUGUUUUGAGCCUCGCUUUAAGACUUAGAGCGCGCUUUAAGCACAUCUUUGGUAACCCUGUUUGAGUCAGUACAUGAUGAUGUGUUAUUACUUCGAUUUCCUAUAUCCCCUCUAGUUUAAGUUUCAUGUAUUCUUGAUGCUGAGAAAUACUGUUUUCUCCGCUUUGCAUUGGACAAGAGUCAUAAGGGGUUCCUACUUUGAACUGCUAGUAGCACAGGUAGAAGGGGUACAUAUUAGAAGACUUCAAUUACUGAAUACAUAGAACUUCCAGGGACUUAACAAUUAGAGAUAACGUCCCACAAAAGAAGAGUUGGCAGAAACGACACUUAAAAUAUAAAUGAAACUUUGCUACAGAGAGGACCUGUAGUUCAUCAUACACUAGAAAGAAACAUUUUUUAAGACUACUUCCAUCCCCUCUCAGAAUCCUACAUCACCUGGUGAAACCAACAAAAAAACAUGCAUUAGUCGAUACACUCAGUUAGAAUAUUUCCAAAAUGAUGAUAGAAUUGACGCAUAGAAAAAAGAAUUAAGUAGAAAAAGAAUGGUGACAUCACAAUAACUAUCAAUUGUGAUGAGAACUUGAUUGUCUAUAUUCUUGGCAUAAGUAUAGCAGCCGCUGUUACGUCCAUAAUAUUGAAUGUUGGUCAAUGGAGGCUGUGUUUAACAUGCAACUCUUUGUUUUUUCUUUAUCCUUUGCACAUCAUAUAGCCACCUCUUGCAGUUGCUGCUUGUUACUAUUGUUGUUUAUGGCCUCGCUAGUUUCAGCCACCUCUUGCAUCUGCUUGAUUUUCACAUUACAUGGGUAAAACUAAUUUAUACAGUACAUCGUACUUAACUACAAGUAUAUAGAAGUCAUUUAUUUUUCACUGAUCCUGUAAUUUUAGUAAGAUACUUUCUAUUAGGAUAUAUUCUAGAAAGAAAUCCAAUGAGCUGCAAAUUUCCUGAAGGUUUUGAAUUGAAAUGCUUAACCAAAUCACUCCGUCCAAAUUCCGAUCAAGCCCAAGAAUCUCAAUAUUUCUUUAGCUAUUGACAGUUGUCAUGGGGUUGAGCAAAACUGAAGUGAACUUGAAGAGGUUACUUGUAACUGCACCACAACAGCAAAAUCAAGCAAAGCUUAUACAUUAUGUUGCCACUUUGCGGGAACUACUGGAGCAGUUGGCUGAAGAGAGGAAUCCUGAUGGAUUACCAAGGGUUUCAAAAGCCAAGGUGAAUGAAUAUGCUGAGAAUAUUGAAGCCGUUGCUUCCAAGUUAGCUGUGUCCAUGCCUGAUGUGCACACGCCUGAGGAACCUGUGGCUGAGACUUCCAGCAGUGGAACUCCUAAAGCAGAAGAAAGUGUGAAUUCUGCUUCUGAAGGAUUGAGGAGAAGAUUCGGGGUUCAUUCACACAAUGAUGAGAGAUCUCGGGAUGCCAUUGAUUCUGAUCAAUCAUCAGCUGCAGUCAAACUGGAUGACGCUGGACGGACACAUAUUGACAAGCACAGGAAGCUUCAGGAGGAUUUGACUGAUGAAAUGGUUGUUUUGGCACGGCAGCUAAAAGAGAGCAGUCUCAUGAUGAAUCAAUCCAUCAAAAAUACCGAGAAAAUACUUGAUUCAACUGAGAAAGCAGUUGAGCAUAGCCUGGCAAGUACAGGACAUGCAACUUCAAGAGCUAUGGACAUUUAUUCGCGGAGUUUCAAGACUACAUGCUUCCAGUGGCUUUUGAUCUUUGUCAUGACAUUAGUCUUUGUCAUGGUUGUUUUACUUAUUCGAGUGACUUAGUAACCAACCCGUUGUUAGUGGAGAUACAACAGAACUCUUGCUUUUCUUUCUAUCUUUGUCUAGUACCAGAAGAUACCUCAUUAGUAGGGACAUGUUGAGGGGAUAGACGACCCUUUAGAUGCUGAAGUAUAAAUUCAAAACACCUGUAUUACUCUCCUUUAGAAAAAAACAUUCUAGAUGGAACAUGUGGGGUGAAUUACGAGUUUGUUUUUUGGAUUUUAGAAAAAGAAUGUACUCCUUAAAGAGAAGAUUUUCCAAGCGCUCUUCUAGUGUGUGUUAUAUUCUACAUUACAGUGUAGUUUAACCUAUGAUAGUAGUAGGAUAGCUACCAUUUUUGUUAUGUUACCAGGUAAUUCUUAUCAUGAAGACGUACAAGUAUCUAGUUACAUUGCAAGUGAUCUAAUUUUGUAAAUACGUUUUACGCUAAGGGAGACAGCAAACCUGCAAAUGUGGACAAAGUAUAGGCUGCUUGAAGCCACAAUAGUUUCUCUGUUAGCUUGGUGGGCAGUAUGCCAGCAGUUGCAAUUUUGUAAAGGGAUAACCCAGAAGUUGAAUGAGUCGCAGCACUCGGUUAAUGCAGCUGCUACUUGUCAACAAGCCGGUUUACCCAGUAACCAAGUUCAUGAGUUAGUACAGCGUCCAGACUUGGGUUCUUCAAGCAAGAGAAGAACUUCCUGCAACCAGCAUCCCAUGGCUUAUACUCCACUUGCUGCUUAACAUGUCCAUAGAAACUUUUUAGUGUGAGCCAAAAACCUAUCAGAUAUGUAUGUGAUGUAUAUUGUAAGUUGAUAAAUGUGUGAUACAUGUUUGUCUAUUGUAUAUAGCCUCAACCUCUCACUAACCAUAGUAAUAGGUGCUCUCUAGGUGUAUUGGUUUAAUAUAAUAUGUACAUUUAUUACCAAAAAAACAUGGG